GAUGAACGCUGGCGGCGUGCUUAACACAUGCAAGUCGAACGAGAAAUGUAGACGGACACCUUCGGGCGGAAGCCUUCAUUUCGAGUGGCGGACGGGUGAGUAACGCGUGGGUAUCCUGCCUCAUACAGGGGGAUAACAGUUGGAAACAACUGUUAAUACCGCAUAAGACCACAGCAUCGCAUGAUGCGGGGGUAAAAACUCCGGUGGUAUGAGAUGGACCCGCGUUCGAUUAGCCAGUUGGCGGGGUAACGGCCCACCAAAGCGACGAUCGAUAGCCGAUCUGAGAGGAUGACCGGCCACAUUGGGACUGAGACACGGCCCAAACUCCUACGGGAGGCAGCAGUGGGGAAUAUUGCACAAUGGGGGAAACCCUGAUGCAGCGACGCCGCGUGAGUGAAGAAGUACUUCGGUAUGUAAAGCUCUAUCAGCAGGGAAGAAAAUGGCGGUACCUGAGUAAGAAGCCCCGGCUAACUACGUG
This 478-nucleotide ribosomal RNA is filed under the name uncultured bacterium. RNAcentral describes it as "partial 16S ribosomal RNA". It matches the Rfam family "Bacterial small subunit ribosomal RNA", at positions 28 to 507 of the family's 1533-position model. The record is from RNAcentral.